This 1431-nucleotide ribosomal RNA is filed under the name uncultured marine bacterium. RNAcentral's name for it is "bacterial SSU rRNA". It matches the Rfam family "Bacterial small subunit ribosomal RNA". The record is from RNAcentral.
GAGUUUGAUCAUGGCUCAGAACGUACGCUGGCGGCACGCCUAACACAUGCAAGUCGAACGCAGUAGCAAUACUGAGUGGCAAACGGGUGAGUAUAAUGUGGGAAUCUGCCUUUUGGUUUGGAAUAACACGGGGAAACUUGUGCUAAUACCGAAUAAGCCCUUACGGGGAAAGUUUUAACGCCGAAAGAUGAGCCCGCACUUGAUUAGCUAGUUGGUAAGGUAAAAGCUUACCAAGGCAAUGAUCAAUAGCUGUUCUUAGAGGAAGACCAGCCACAUUGGGACUGAGACACGGCCCAGACUCCUACGGGAGGCAGCAGUGGGGAAUCUUGCACAAUGGGGGAAACCCUGAUGCAGCGAUGCCGCGUGAGUGAAGAAGGCCUUUGGGUUGUAAAACUCUUUCGUCGGGGAAGAAAAUGACUGUACCCGAAUAAGAAGGUCCGGCUAACUUCGUGCCAGCAGCCGCGGUAAUACGAAGGGACCUAGCGUAGUUCGGAAUUACUGGGCUUAAAGAGCUCGUAGGUGGUUAAAAAAGUUGAUGGUGAAAUCCCAAGGCUCAACCUUGGGACUGCCGUCAAAACUUUUUAGCUAGAGUGUGAUAGAGGUAAGUGGAAUUUCUAGUGUAGAAGUGAAAUUCGUAGAUAUAGAAAGAACACACAUGGGAUGGCAGGUAACUGAGGGGUCACUACUGACACUGAGGGCGAAAGCAUGGGAGCGAAGAGGAUUAGAACCCUCGUAGUCCAUGCCGUAACGAUGUGUGCUAGACGUUGGAANUAUAUUNNUCAGUGUCGCAGCGAAAGCAUUAAGCACACCGCCUGGGGAGUACGACCGCAAGGUUAAAACUCAAAUGAAUUGACGGGGACCCGCACAAGCAGUGGAGCAUGUGGUUUAAUUCGAAGAUACGCGCAGAACCUUACCAACACUUGACAUGUUCGUCGCGAGCCUAAGAGAUUAGGCUUUUCAGUUCGGCUGGACGAAACACAGGUGCUGCAUGGCUGUCGUCAGCUCGUGUCGUGAGAUGUUGGGUUAAGUCCCGCAACGAGCGCAACCCCCACUUUUAGUUGCCACCAUUUAGUUGGGCACUUUAAAAGAACUGCCAGUGAUAAGCUGGAGGAAGGUGGGGAUGACGUCAAGUCCUCAUGGCCCUUAUGUGUUGGGCUACACACGUGCUACAAUGGCACUUACAAUGGGAAGCAAAGAGGCGACUCCUAGCUAAUCCCAAAAAUGUGUCUCAGUUCGGAUUGUACUCUGUAACUCGAGUGCAUGAAGCUGGAAUUGCUAGUAAUCGCGGAUCAGCGCGCCGCGGUGAAUACGUUCCCGGGUCUUGUACACACCGCCCGUCACACCAUGGAAGUUGGUUACACCUUAAGGCAAAGCUUAUACCUUUGACUACGGUACGAUCAGCAACUGGGGUGAAGUCGUAACAAGGUAACC